AUACAUCCCACCCAGAGAAACGAUCUCGCCUCAGAUGAUACUUGUCAUCUGUGAGACCACCCCUUUAGCUAGAGUUAACCACUUGAGCAGGUUUCAAUUUUGUCUCUGAAAGUAGGAAGCUAUCAGUCUCCCUACAUGACUCGUUCCACCCUUUGUGGAUACUUCUACCUGUAGAAAAAAAGGUUGGCAAACUUGGUGGCAUGGUGAGGACAAAGGGCAUUUUGAAAGAACCAGUGACUGAGGUCAGAGUGGGGAGCUGGUGUUAGCUGUGGGAUUCACUGCAGCGUCCUACCACAAAGGCAAAGAAGAUGAAAAUGCAGCGUGCAGUGCUGGGCUUGAUUCCCAAGUCGCAGUCGGGCUCCCGCUAUGGGUAGGAGGCUUUACACUCAGCCUGGGUCAGCACCGGAGCAUCCAGGCACUUCAGCUCGUCUGGGUAGUCAGCUGUGAGGAUCAGGAAGAGAUCAAAGAAAGUAGAAAUGUGGGUGAGGCCAGAGAAGGAGACAAUAAUCUGGGAUGGAACAUUGAAGAGGAACACUGCCUCUGGAGAGGACUCCAAAACAUGCAAGACAUUGUGAUUUUGACCUUGUUGGAUGCUGCACCUAAAGGUGGAUGGAAGAGGAAGAGUCUUGGGGGCUACCAUCCUGGCUGGAGAAGCUGGCACGAGGCUCCCUCUUGUGGAUGCAGCAAGGUCUAGGAAAUGGAGGCACAGUGAGAUAAAAUAAGUUGCUCAAAGCCAUAUGGCAAUUAAGACUUGAACUCUAAAAGGGUUUUAUUUUUAUUUUUAUUUAAUUAAUUAAUUUUUUUGAGACAGAGUCUUGCUCUGUUGCCCAGGCUGGUGUGCAGUGGCACAGUCACAACUCACUGCAGCCUCAACCACCUGAGCUCAAGGGAUCCUCCCAUCUCAGCCUCCCAAGUAGCUGGGACCACAGGAAGGUGCCACCAUGCAAGGCUAAUUUUUUAUUUUUAGUAGAGAUGGGGGUCUCACUAUGUUGCCGAGGCUGGUCUUGAACUCCUGGGCUCAAGCAGUUCUUCCAUCUCAGGCUCCCAAAGUGCUGGGGUUACAGGCUGUGCUCGGCCUGUUUUAUUAAUCUCUAAGUGCCCUGCAUCUGCUCUAAGGAGUGUGGCAUAGUCCUUGAUACUGGAUAACUGAGUAACGCAGGUAGUUUGUAUGAGAAGUGCAGUAACCACAUGGUGAAUGGAAGAUGAUGCUGUACACUUGCCCGGAGUUCACAGCUGGGACACUGCGGUUACCAGGACGCAGCUUCCAGAAUGGCUGACUAAAACUAGAAAAUGCAGACUCCACUGGGUCUUUGUGUUUCUGUUUUUUAAACGGGAAAAUUAAUUCUGCCAUUUACCUUCAAAGAGUUAGUGGGAGUGACAUAAAAUUGUUGAUAAAAAUCUUUGGAAGUCUCAGUGAGGGGAUCUGCUAUAAUGAAAUAAUGAAAUAAUUGAUGAAAUUAUUUUGUUCGUAAACAGUCUGAGGGCCAAGGGAAGAGAAGAGUGACAUAGAAUCUCCUUUCCUUGAGAUCUUAGAAUCACGCCUGCCUCCUUACCUCCAUCCAGGACUGUUAAAAAUCUCCCAAGGCAGAGACUUUUAGGCCUACAUGUACUUAGCCUCCUCUUCCCACCUCCUGUUCAUCUCUGUUUCCAAUGUUCCACUGCCAUCACUGCCAGGAAGUUCUGCAGAGAAGAAUGAAGAAGAACCGUAUGAUCCUAAACAUGUUCUUUGAAGAUAUUAUCAACCCACCAUUGGCCUUAUUUACUGGAAUGUUUUUAUAACCUUUAUUUGACACCUCUUCCCAUCAUUUAAAAUAAAUCUGGUGCUUCCCUGAAUAA
Homo sapiens (human) is the source of this 1836-nucleotide long non-coding RNA. RefSeq annotates it as UBE2R2 antisense RNA 1. The transcript is spliced from 5 exons. NCBI's taxonomy places the organism in Eukaryota, Metazoa, Chordata, Mammalia, Primates, Hominidae. The record is from RefSeq and is marked validated.